RNAcentral lists this long non-coding RNA (1119 nucleotides) under Castor canadensis (American beaver). RNAcentral describes it as "lncRNA (ENSCCNG00000017173.1)". The record is from RNAcentral. Lineage: Eukaryota; Metazoa; Chordata; Mammalia; Rodentia; Castoridae.
CUGAAGCAGCAACAAGAGGUGGAGAGGUGGGGAGAGAGUGAGACGGGAGGUGGACAGCCACCCGGGAGGCUGUGCUGGGGGGACAGCUCCCAGCUUAGCAGGGCCACUGGUGUGACUUCUGCCACUACCAGUGGAUUGUCCCUGACCUGUGGGCUUCUCAACCAUAGGGGCAUUUCCCUUACCAGAGAGAGUAGGCAAUGCUGUGCAGUGUCAUUUAAUAAGACAUUUUUGCUAGAAAAUAAUUAUUUUCCCUCAGGGUUUGGCCUCACAAGUGGGGUCAUUACAUUUAACAUAGUUAAAUAAAGUUCCACAUGAAGGGAAAUCCCAGCACCCUAUCUUCCAGGAGAGUAGAGUGGCAGGUACCACGUGCAGCUAUAAAAACACUCAGGCCUGGAAUCCCUCUCCCCAUCUGUCCUCGGGUUGGGGUCCCAGGUGACUACCCCUGGUGACACCCCAGGUUCUGGCCCAUCUCUUGGAUCAGCUCUUCUUCAGGUUUUAGUAUCUUCUUUUUUUUUUUAAACUGAAGCCAUUUCCUCGUCUUGGUUUAAAAUCUUAGCUCUUCUGCAGGCCUGUGUCUUGAUACUUAACCCUUGAAUUACCCACCUCCAGCCUUGGCAGGUCGCAGGAGAACCAUAGAGCUGCCUCAGCAGCUCUUUCUCCAGCAAUGGAGGGCAAGGAGAAAGGGGGCUGAUGGAGAACACCCUGCGCACUCUGGUCUGACUCUGGUGACUGCAGUGACAGUGAGCAGGAUCAGGAAUGGGUCCUACUUGGGAAGCUGAGGGUCACAGUCGUCAGACCUGCCCUACCUCGCACGCCUGUCUGAAGCAGGAGUUCAAGUGUGUGGUGAGUGCUCCAGCAAAGAGCCAGCCGAGUUGACUGAGCAGCUCAAAUGCCAGCCUGGGAAUGAGGGGAGUGAAGUCAGAGGCCAGUGAUGUGGGAAGACCCUCCACAGGGCCUAUUACAUGUCUGUCUCUGAAGGUCAAUCUCUGCAAAGCAGCAUGUGGAGACAUCUCUGGGUACAGAUGUCAAGCGUCUCCAGCUCUGAAGGUCAGGCCAGAAGCUGCCCACCGUGCUGCAGGAGGACUCGGAGGGGACAAGAGGCCUCAACUUAACAGAUGA